GGGGCUUCUCGGCCUUUUGGCUAAGAUCAAGUGCAGUAUCUGUUCUUAUCGGUUUACUCCUUGGGUUGUGUGCCUGCAGUUGGCCGUGUAGAGAUACCAUAAUCUGAAUCUCCCCAUAAUGCAUUUAUGGGAGGCUGAGCUCCUGUCAGCAGAGCAAUGCCUUCGUCCCUCUGUUAGCUGAGAUAAC
This 187-nucleotide small nuclear RNA is filed under the name Callorhinchus milii (elephant shark). RNAcentral's name for it is "U2 spliceosomal RNA (ENSCMIG00000012210.1)". The stretch from base 1 to 144 matches the Rfam family "U2 spliceosomal RNA". Rfam says of the family: U2 is a small nuclear RNA (snRNA) component of the spliceosome (involved in pre-mRNA splicing). Complementary binding between U2 snRNA (in an area lying towards the 5' end but 3' to hairpin I) and the branchpoint sequence (BPS) of the intron results the bulging out of an unpaired adenosine, on the BPS, which initiates a nucleophilic attack at the intronic 5' splice site, thus starting the first of two transesterification reactions that mediate splicing. Lineage: Eukaryota; Metazoa; Chordata; Chondrichthyes; Chimaeriformes; Callorhinchidae. The record is from RNAcentral.